AGCGAACGCUGGCGGCAGGCUUAACACAUGCAAGUCGAGCGGGCAUCCUUGUGGUGUCAGCGGCAGACGGGCGAGUAACGCGUGGGAACGUGCCCUUCGGUUCGGAAUAACUCAGGGAAACUUGAGCUAAUACCGGAUACGUGCGAGAGCAGAAAGGUUUAUCUGCCGAAGGAUCGGCCCGCGUCUGAUUAGCUAGUUGGUGAGGUUAUGGCUCACCAAGGCGACGAUCAGUAGCUGGUCUGAGAGGAUGAUCAGCCACACUGGGACUGAGACACGGCCCAGACUCCUACGGGAGGCAGCAGUGGGGAAUAUUGGACAAUGGGGGCAACCCUGAUCCAGCCAUGCCGCGUGAGUGAUGACGGCCUUAGGGUUGUAAAGCUCUUUUCUUCGGGACGAUAAUGACGGUACCGGAGGAAUAAGCCCCGGCUAACUUCGUG
This 437-nucleotide ribosomal RNA is filed under the name uncultured bacterium. RNAcentral describes it as "partial 16S ribosomal RNA". It matches the Rfam family "Bacterial small subunit ribosomal RNA", at positions 29 to 507 of the family's 1533-position model. The record is from RNAcentral.